This 253-nucleotide ribosomal RNA is filed under the name uncultured bacterium. RNAcentral describes it as "partial 16S ribosomal RNA". It matches the Rfam family "Bacterial small subunit ribosomal RNA", at positions 524 to 776 of the family's 1533-position model. The record is from RNAcentral.
UACGGAGGGUGCAAGCGUUGCUCGGAAUCACUGGGCGUAAAGCGACCGCAGGCGGCCUGACAAGUCGGAUGUGAAAGCCCUGGGCUCAACUCAGGAAUUGCAUUCGAAACUGGUAGGCUCGAGUACGGGAGAGGGGGGUGGAAUUCCUGGUGUAGGGGUGAAAUUCGUUGAUAUCAGGAGGAACACCGGCGGCGAAGGCGGCCCCCUGGCCCGCAACUGACGCUCAUGGUCGAAAGCGUGGGGAGCAAAUAGG